Molecule: ribosomal RNA, 638 nt
Filed under: uncultured fungus
Lineage: Eukaryota; Fungi
Description: eukaryotic LSU rRNA
Rfam family: Eukaryotic large subunit ribosomal RNA
Source: RNAcentral
AGCAUAUCAAUAAGCGGAGGAAAAGAAACUAACGAGGAUUCCCCUAGUAACUGCGAGUGAAGCGGGAAAAGCUCAAAUUUAAAAUCUGGUGGCCCUCUGGCCAUCCGAGUUGUAAGCUAGAGAAGCGCCGUCCGCGCUGGGGCCAUGUACAGGUCUCCUGGAACGGAGCGUCAUAGAGGGUGAGAAUCCCGUCUCUGACAUGGACCUCCCGGGGCACCGCGAUCGCGCUCUCAAAGAGUCGAGUUGUUUGGGAAUGCAGCUCCAAAUGGGUGGUAAACUCCAUCUAAAGCUAAACAUUGGCGAGAGACCGAUAGCGAACAAGUACCGUGAGGGAAAGAUGAAAAGAACUUUGGAAAGAGAGUUAAACAGUACGUGAAAUUGUUGAAAGGGAAACGCUUGAAGUCAGUCGCGUCGGCUUGGGGGUCAGCCUCGCAGCUGCGAGGUGCACUCCCCGGUCCACGGGUCAGCACCAGUUUCGACCGUUGGAGAAAGGUCGGGGGAAUGUGGCAUCCUCGGAUGUGUUUAUAGCCCUCGAUCGCAUGCAUCGGUUGGGAUUGAGGAACUCAGCGCACCGCAAGGCCGGGUUUCAAACCACGUCUGCGCUUAGGAUGCUGGCACAAUGGCUUUAAUCGACCCGU